UACGUAGGGGGCAAGCGUUGUCCGGAUUUAUUGGGCGUAAAGAGCGUGUAGGCGGCCAGACAGGUCCGUUGUGAAAACUCGAGGCUCAACCUCGAGACGCCGAUGGAAACCGUCUGGCUAGAGUCCGGAAGAGGAGAGUGGAAUUCCUGGUGUAGCGGUGAAAUGCGCAGAUAUCAGGAGGAACACCGGUGGCGAGGGCGGGUCUCUGGGCCGAUACUGACGCUGAGGAGCGAAAGCGUGGGGAGCGAACAGG
RNAcentral lists this ribosomal RNA (253 nucleotides) under uncultured bacterium. Its description in RNAcentral is "partial 16S ribosomal RNA". It matches the Rfam family "Bacterial small subunit ribosomal RNA", at positions 524 to 776 of the family's 1533-position model. The record is from RNAcentral.